GAGUCUACCUAUUAUGCGAGUGUUAAGGUGGAGAAACCUAAACGCGUACCGAAAGGGAUGUAAGAUGUGAAGCGCAAGCUGCAACAUCAACCAAUCUUGAUUCUCUGAAGAAGGACUUGAGUUAAGAGCAUAAUCGGUAGGACCCGAAAGAUGGUGAACUACGGUUGAAUAGGGUGAAGCCAGGGGUAAACUCUGGUGGAGGCUCGAAGCGAUACUGACGUGCAAAUCGUUCGUCAAAUUUGACUGUAGGGGCGAAAGACUAAUCGAACCAUCUAGUAGCUGGUUCCCUCUGAAAUUUCUCUCAGGAUAGCAGGAACAGAUUAUGCAGUUUUAUCAGGUAAAGCUAAUGAUUAGUGGAAUCGGGGGGUCUAGUAUCCUUGACCAAUUCUCAAACUUUAAAUUGGUAAGAACUACGAGUUAUCUUAAUUGAACUCGGAGGUAGAAUGCAUUGUUCUUAGUGGGCCAUUUUUGGUAAGUCAGAACUGGCGAUGAGGGAUG
Molecule: ribosomal RNA, 498 nt
Filed under: uncultured eukaryote
Lineage: Eukaryota
Description: eukaryotic LSU rRNA
Rfam family: Eukaryotic large subunit ribosomal RNA
Source: RNAcentral